AUCUAGGCUCUUGCAUCGAUGAAGAACGUAGCGAAAUGCGAUACUUGGUGUGAAUUGCAGAAUCCCGUGAACCAUCGAGUCUUUGAACGCAAGUUGCGCCCGAUGCCAUUAGGUUGAGGGCACGUCUGCCUGGGUGUCACAUAUCGAAGCCUCCUGCCACUUUC
RNAcentral lists this ribosomal RNA (164 nucleotides) under Lathyrus pannonicus. RNAcentral describes it as "5.8S ribosomal RNA". The stretch from base 1 to 139 matches the Rfam family "5.8S ribosomal RNA", at positions 18 to 154 of the family's 154-position model. Rfam says of the family: 5.8S ribosomal RNA (5.8S rRNA) is a component of the large subunit of the eukaryotic ribosome. It is transcribed by RNA polymerase I as part of the 45S precursor that also contains 18S and 28S rRNA. Lineage: Eukaryota; Viridiplantae; Streptophyta; Magnoliopsida; Fabales; Fabaceae. The record is from RNAcentral.